This is a long non-coding RNA of Cyprinus carpio carpio, 1035 nucleotides long. The record is from Ensembl. NCBI's taxonomy places the organism in Eukaryota, Metazoa, Chordata, Actinopteri, Cypriniformes, Cyprinidae.
UGAGGAUGUGAAAUGAGCGCUUUAAUGUGCCGAUAGCUUUUUCUUAGCCAGGGGUCAGGUAAAUACUGUUCAGAUCAGGUAAUGUGGCGGUAAUAUUUUGUAGAUCAUGUUUCUAUUAUUUAAAUGACAUUGUGCAAGGGAGGGAAUCACAUUGGCACAUGGAAAGGUUGAGCAGUGGAGGGAAAUGAUUUAAUGUAAUGGGAGGAAUAAAGCAUCAUUAGCGCAAAUUAACUAUUGUCAGCCGAGGUGAUCUUGUUGGGUGCUAAUGCCAUUGGCAGCCGCUGAAGGUGGCAAUUAACGCACAGGGGGUGGGGUGAAGUGAAGUGCACAUCGGCAUGCAUUUAGCGCCCAAUGGCAGCCGCGGUCACAGCCGUUCCAUUGGGUUUUGUCUCCUAGAGUUUAAGUAGUGCCAAGAUGAAGAAUGCCCAUGUUUAAUUCACGCCGUUUAUGUUUAACUUCAGGCCAGGAAUGGGCCGCAGUCCAUUAAUUAGUACCAAACGGCCGUUCAAAACAAGAUCUGCCUUGUACAGGUCACCCUUUUUCCCAGGUUUGAAUGGCUGCGGUUUUACCUCCGUCACCUGCCAAGUGUGGAGGAAAAGGCCAGCGGGCCGGAAUGGCCCCUGCAGGCUUACUGUAAGCACCGCGGGUCGCUGUGCCAAAAAAGCGGGGGAGUGAAGGAGAUGGAAGGACAAACACUAAUGUGAUAUGUGUCUGUUUCCUGACACCAGACAUCCAAAGCUGCAAAACAAAAGAUGACACAAAUACAGCGGAUGGAAGAGGAAAGAGCAGACGGAGACAUCGGCUUAUGGUUAACCUCUAAACCUGAGACACCGCAUAAAAUACAACACUGUUGACACAACCAGCUUCAGGAAGGAUAGGUCAAAACCUAGGCAUGGCCAACAAGGCUUUAGAAUUGACUGGACUGGAGGUAUCUUCAAUUUUAAAAUAUCUCAGAAGAGGUUUCAUGAGAUUGAUGGUUUAUUUAACCAAAACUGUUGAUUCUGUCAUAAUUUAUUCAUACUCACGUCAAAGGAG